RNAcentral lists this long non-coding RNA (351 nucleotides) under Elaeis guineensis (African oil palm). RNAcentral describes it as "long non-coding RNA (EGUI_LNC071607)". Lineage: Eukaryota; Viridiplantae; Streptophyta; Magnoliopsida; Arecales; Arecaceae. The record is from RNAcentral.
GGACUCUCAGAUGAAAGAAUUGCGCCAGGAUGAAACCACGAAGGGACUGAGGGGUUUAAAUAGCCGACGGAUCCCGGUGCAAUUAUGGCGGCGGGUAUUCCUGGGCCAACUGAUGUGUGCCGCGUGGCGCGCUUAUCCCCUUCACCGCCAUCGAGGGUUGACCGCUCACGAAUUCCCGCAGAGCGACGCUUAGGAUCGCAUUUCGAUGGGAGCUCCGAAAAGACUUUUCAAGUCACCUUCACCGAAAAACAGAUUCUGACGUGCGCGCAUUAAAUGAGGGCGGCAGUGCACAAAGUUCGAAGGGGCGAUUCCGGCUGCGCGCAUCUCUCUCUGUGUACUUCCUUCGCUUGA